GCUCUCUUUACUUCAACUUGCUUACCAUUCAAAUCGUGAAAAGUUUUGUGCAAGACCUGGUCAACAGCAUCCUCACUGUCAAAGGAAAUAAAUCCAAAUCCACGAGGCCGUUGGGUGUUCUGGUCAUACAUUAUUACUACAUCAGUAACAUGGCCAUAAGCUUCAAAAUACUGACGGAAUCCAUCAUCAGUAAGAGUGGGAGGCAACCCUCCAACAAAAAUCUUUUUGGUCCUGAUAUUUCC
This 242-nucleotide unclassified non-coding RNA is filed under the name Hevea brasiliensis (rubber tree). Lineage: Eukaryota; Viridiplantae; Streptophyta; Magnoliopsida; Malpighiales; Euphorbiaceae. The record is from RNAcentral.